Rhopilema esculentum is the source of this 3318-nucleotide non-coding RNA. The record is from RefSeq and is a predicted model, not a curated record. Lineage: Eukaryota; Metazoa; Cnidaria; Scyphozoa; Rhizostomeae; Rhizostomatidae.
UGUUUCAAAUUAAGCUUCUACCAAAACUGCUUAUCGGAAUGGGAAAGGCCCGACUCUGAAAAUAGACUAUCCAGCUCUAUUAAUAUUUUCAAGGAAGUUUCACUGUCAAUCGUUUUUAUGAUCCAAAAGGCUUGUCCAUCCUAACACAGCUACGGGUCGAACUCAGUAAGCUAAAUGUUCAUCAAUUCAAACAUAAUUUUAGGGAUACUUUGAACCCUUUAUGCCAAACAAAUCGAAGCACUAUUUUCUGCGCUGCCAUACUUAUGAUGUAAAUAGAAGUGAUCUUCUCAACAGUGUACAAGCAAUAUUGUUGCCUUGUGGUUUGUUAAAAGUCAUCCAAUAUGGCCUUGAACAUCCAGGCCUCCGAAAGAUUCGAAUAAUGCAGAAACAAAAAUCUUUAAAUCUCCAUUCGUUUUUUAACAUUGUUGUUUGUGCUAGGAGGCUCUUGUUAUGUAGUAUAGCAGUUUCCAUUCAGUAAAGUUUCGGUAGUCUCGUUUGUAACUUUUUAUAUCGAAUAAAAAAAUCUUUUCAGCAUACUCUCUAUUGGAAAAGCAAAAACCUCGGUUUGCAUUUUGAUAUUAAAUUUCAAGCCGAACAAUUAUUAGACAAGAGGGGCAAUCAACAGGACCUUGAGCACUUCAUUAGAUGCAGCUAGAGGUAGAGAACUUUAGCAACCUCCCUUCCUGAAAAGCUAGGGACCUCCCUUUCAUGUCAAAGGCCAUCUUUGUUGUUGGGAAGCAGCAGUGGAGACAUUUUCUUACAGAAGCGAGAAAAUUGUACUUCAGAGUGAGUGAAACUUGUGAGAUGUUAGAUGAUUGCCAGAGAUUCAUAUUUUUUCAAGGACCUCUUGAGAAUGUUAGCUGUCGUCCUAAUUUCCACUUGUGUAGUGAGCUCAAGAUGACUCGAAAUGACAUUUGAUUAUGACAUUUGAUUAAACAGGUAUUUUCCUUUAACCCCAGUUUAAAUUAAAUAUGGUAGACAUGAUUUCAAACAUAAUCUGUCUUUUCUAGCUCAAGGAACAUUAAAUUAUUGAGCAUAUUUCAUUAUUUCAUGAUUUCACCACACUAAAAAGACUUGUUUGAAAUUGUAGACACAGACUGAAUCUCAAUCUACCUAGCUGUUGCUGUGUGCCUAAUCUAGAAUUAUGGUCAACCAAUAUUGUGGUAAGAUUUGUUUCUAUCUUUUAAUUUGUUUCUAUUUUUUAAUUUGUUUCUAUUCACUUUUGUAGUGUUUAUGCAUUUCUCUAUAUCUCCUAAGUAAAUAUCUCCUAAUAUGGGUACUUUAGUCCUUACCAUGUUUGUUCUUAGAAGUCAUUUUCUUCAUAUACUGUUAUCAAUGAUUAAGUUUAUAAGAUUUUGUUUUUGAGGUUCCUAAUUUAUAUUCAUAAAUUGCUGCAUUUUCUCUAUAGAUAUAGAUGCAAACAUAAUAUGAUCUUGAUACAAUAGGGGUGGGAUAACCAUCCUUCUAUAUUGUAUUCCCAAUCUAAUUUCAAUUAUGGGUUGCAUUCUUUUAUCAAUGUGAUUUGCACAUACCGGGGCGACUAACAUUGUGCCUGGAUACGAUUACGAUAAGCACCUAUUUGACUUUUCUGAGCUUUUUCACAUAAUGAAUUCACUUGUAAACAGCCUUCACAUUCACAGAUGCUCUAUAGGUAUUUUCCUUUAACCCCAGUUUAACAUUAUUUCAAACAUAAUCUGUCCUUUCUAGCUCAAGGAACAUUAAAUUAUUUAGCAUAUUUCAUUAUUUCAUGAUUUCACCACACUAAAAAGACUUGUUUGAAAUUGUAGACACAGACUGAAUCUCAAUCUACCUAGCUGUUGCUGUGUGCCUAAUCUAGAAUUAUGGUCAACCAAUAUUGUGACACAGACUGAAUCUCAAUCUACCUAGCUGUUGCUGUGUGCCUAAUCUAGAUUUAUGAUCAACCAAUAUUGUGCUUUCCACUUGGCUGUCAGUAAAGAGCUUCUUCUCUUGGAAAAUCUUUUCCAGUUCUUUGGAGUCAGACUUUGUCUUCAGAAGCCACUGCUCCAGGAUAUCUAGCGGAUAGUUUAACAGUUUACACACGGCAAGCACCCGAAUCUUCCAAUACAACAUCACAAACUGUUUACCUUGAGGAUCGUCGAGUUUUUUUAUCACAGCUCCCAAAUUUGAAAAGACCUCCCAAAAACACGUGUUAUGUUUGGAAGGAUUCACAUCUUUUAACUGCGGGGCUAUUCUGGUUAUCUCACCAACAUUGCAAAGCUGGUAGAAUCUCGUUCUACCUAUGUUAAAGCUGUCGGAUACGAAUCUUUCCAGUUUUGCUGUGCUGCAGGCGUCUUUGUCUUGCGAGCAGCGUCUUAGAUUGCAGAGGAUAGCAGCAAUGCUAAUUUGAAAAGAAAAGAAUUGAGGACAAGUUUUAAAUAGAGACUUUACGUGACUAACCAAAUCACACAUCGGACAGUCUGGGAUAUCGCAAGCUGAACCUAUGUUGUCUUUGAUGGUUGGCUGGCUUUCAUUAGGAUUCGUGUACCUACACUGUCUUGUGCACCUGCACAAGACCUUAAUAUUUUGCGAGUCCAAGUAAGAGAUCAGUGCUGUGUUUAUCCUGGUUCUGUCGGUGUUAUAUGUGAAGGCAGGCGAUGAGCAGAUUGCAGAGUUGGGACCAACUUUUGAUAAAAAACUUGCAGCUUUCUCAAAGUGCAACUUCUGCAAUGUCUCCCAAUCAUCCCUGUCAAUGCCAAGCAUUCGGGCAGCUUUGUUCAGCAUUGCAAGUAGCUGCUCUUCCUCAGUCAAGGAAAUCACCUUAGAAGCCUUUGAAUCCUCCGGAAUUGCUGCUUUUGCUGCUGUGGAUGCCGUUGCCCCUGAUGUAGAGGCUUCCCCUGAUGUAGCUGGCAUUGUACCUUCAGCUACAGGCAAUGACGCUGCAGACGAUGGCCGUGCCUUCCCCUUGGAUUCAGCUGAUUCCUUGAAGUGAGUCAUCUUGGAAGUAAGCUUUGAGGUAAGCAGUUUUUCAUUUUGUGAAUUUUCUAAUGGCCGGCCAUCGCCCAUCACUUCUUUGACAAUUCGAUCGGACAUCAACUGCGAGCUUUGCUCGUCAGCCUCAGCUUCACCUUCACUAACAUCUUCUUCGCUUGAAGGCAAGUGGCUUACACGUCUUUUCUGGACAAACUCGCUUAGCUCCCGGAGGGAUUCUUUUCCGAGAGACAUUUUCCAGCCCUGAUGAAGUUGCACUCACCGGUACAUAGCUUCCUGAAGACGUACAUUACUCCUUCCAAGUGCCUGUUUGAUGUUGAUAGAUGACAACCUGCUGUACGCCAGCUCCGUGACUGUAAGGCUUGUUUU